GAUGAACGCUGGCGGCGUGCCUAACACAUGCAAGUCGAGCGGCAGGGCGGGGUGCUUGCACCCUGUCGGCGAGCGGCGAACGGCUGAGUAACGCGUAGGAAUUUGCCCCAAAGUGAGGAAUUACUGUCCGAAAGGGGAGCUCAUGCCCGAAUUGGUCUUCGGACUGAAGGAUUUAUCCGCUUUGGGAGAAGCCUGUGUUGGAUUAGGUUGUUGGUAGGGUGAUGGCCCACCAUGCUGACGAUCCAUAGCUGGACUGAGAGGAUGAUCAGCCAGACUGGAACUGAGACACGGUCCAGACUCGUACGGGAGGCAGCAGUGAGGAAUCUUGCACAAUGGGCGAAAGCCUGAUGGUGCAAGGCCGCGUGAAGUAUGAAGGCCUUGAGGUUGUAAACUUCAUUUAUGUGUGAAGGUUAUGACGGUAACUCAUGAAUAAGCACCGGCUAACUACGUG
This 451-nucleotide ribosomal RNA is filed under the name uncultured bacterium. Its description in RNAcentral is "partial 16S ribosomal RNA". It matches the Rfam family "Bacterial small subunit ribosomal RNA", at positions 28 to 507 of the family's 1533-position model. The record is from RNAcentral.